RNAcentral lists this transfer RNA (72 nucleotides) under Glyptotermes pubescens. RNAcentral describes it as "tRNA-Val". The record is from RNAcentral. Lineage: Eukaryota; Metazoa; Arthropoda; Insecta; Blattodea; Kalotermitidae.
CAGGCUAUUCUCGGUAGUUGGGGAUUUCAUUUACAUUGAAUUAUUGUUGUCGUGCAAUUCGGCAUUGUCUGA